RNAcentral lists this ribosomal RNA (1372 nucleotides) under uncultured bacterium. RNAcentral's name for it is "bacterial SSU rRNA". It matches the Rfam family "Bacterial small subunit ribosomal RNA", at positions 28 to 1381 of the family's 1533-position model. The record is from RNAcentral.
GAUGAACGCUGGCGGCGUGCCUAAUACAUGCAAGUCGAGCGAACGGACGAGAAGCUUGCUUCUCUGAUGUUAGCGGCGGACGGGUGAGUAACACGUGGAUAACCUACCUAUGAGACUGGGAUAACUUCGGGAAACCGGAGCUAAUACCGGAUAAUAUUUUGAACCGCAUGGUUCAAAAGUGAAAGACGGUCUUGCUGUCACUUAUAGAUGGAUCCGCGCUGCAUUAGCUAGUUGGUAAGGUAACGGCUUACCAAGGCAACGAUGCAUAGCCGACCUGAGAGGGUGAUCGGCCACACUGGAACUGAGACACGGUCCAGACUCCUACGGGAGGCAGCAGUAGGGAAUCUUCCGCAAUGGGCGAAAGCCUGACGGAGCAACGCCGCGUGAGUGAUGAAGGUCUUCGGAUCGUAAAACUCUGUUAUUAGGGAAGAACAUAUGUGUAAGUAACUGUGCACAUCUUGACGGUACCUAAUCAGAAAGCCACGGCUAACUACGUGCCAGCAGCCGCGGUAAUACGUAGGUGGCAAGCGUUAUCCGGAAUUAUUGGGCGUAAAGCGCGCGUAGGCGGUUUUUUAAGUCUGAUGUGAAAGCCCACGGCUCAACCGUGGAGGGUCAUUGGAAACUGGAAAACUUGAGUGCAGAAGAGGAAAGUGGAAUUCCAUGUGUAGCGGUGAAAUGCGCAGAGAUAUGGAGGAACACCAGUGGCGAAGGCGACUUUCUGGUCUGUAACUGACGCUGAUGUGCGAAAGCGUGGGGAUCAAACAGGAUUAGAUACCCUGGUAGUCCACGCCGUAAACGAUGAGUGCUAAGUGUUAGGGGGUUUCCGCCCCUUAGUGCUGCAGCUAACGCAUUAAGCACUCCGCCUGGGGAGUACGACCGCAAGGUUGAAACUCAAAGGAAUUGACGGGGACCCGCACAAGCGGUGGAGCAUGUGGUUUAAUUCGAAGCAACGCGAAGAACCUUACCAAAUCUUGACAUCCUUUGACAACUCUAGAGAUAGAGCUUUCCCCUUCGGGGGACAAAGUGACAGGUGGUGCAUGGUUGUCGUCAGCUCGUGUCGUGAGAUGUUGGGUUAAGUCCCGCAACGAGCGCAACCCUUAAGCUUAGUUGCCAUCAUUAAGUUGGGCACUCUAAGUUGACUGCCGGUGACAAACCGGAGGAAGGUGGGGAUGACGUCAAAUCAUCAUGCCCCUUAUGAUUUGGGCUACACACGUGCUACAAUGGACAAUACAAAGGGCAGCGAAACCGCGAGGCCAAGCAAAUCCCAUAAAGUUGUUCUCAGUUCGGAUUGUAGUCUGCAACUCGACUACAUGAAGCUGGAAUCGCUAGUAAUCGUAGAUCAGCAUGCUACGGUGAAUACGUUCCCGGGUCU